RNAcentral lists this ribosomal RNA (420 nucleotides) under Triticum aestivum (bread wheat). Its description in RNAcentral is "partial small subunit ribosomal RNA". Lineage: Eukaryota; Viridiplantae; Streptophyta; Magnoliopsida; Poales; Poaceae. The record is from RNAcentral.
AUGCAUUUCAUAUCAUGUCAUCAUGUGCAUUUCAUUUUGCAAACAUGUUCAUCUCAUGCAUCCGAGCAUUUUUCCCGUUGUCCGUUUUGCAAUCCGGCACUCCUAUGUCAUCCGGCGUCCUCUUCUCGCCUCUUUUCGUGUGCGGGUGUUAAACUUUCUCGGAAUGGACCGAGGUUUGCCAAGCGGCCUUGGUAUAGCACCGGUAGACCGCCUGUCAGGUUUCGUGCCAUUUGGAGUCCGUUUGAUACUCCAACGGUUAACCGAGUAACCGCAAAGGCCUCUUUUGUGUGCAGCCCAACACCCCCUUCAAAGUGGCCCAAAACCCAGCAAACUCCCCUCCAUGCUCUCGGUCGUUCGAUCACGAUCGCGUGGCCAAAAACCGCUCCUCAUUUGGACUCUCCUAGCUCCCUCUACCUAUAA